This 3130-nucleotide ribosomal RNA is filed under the name wastewater metagenome. RNAcentral describes it as "bacterial LSU rRNA". It matches the Rfam family "Bacterial large subunit ribosomal RNA". The record is from RNAcentral.
AGGGCACAUGACGGAUGCCUUGACGUAAAGAGCCGAAGAAGGACGUAGAAGGCUGCGAAAAGCCUCGGGGAGCUGUCUAUCAAGCUUUGAUCCGGGGAUCUCCGAAUGGGGCAACCCAGCCGUGCUAAUACACGGUUACCACUAUCUGAAUCUAUAGGAUAGUAGGAGGGCACCACCCGAACUGAAACAUCUUAGUAGGGUGAGGAAGAGAGAGAAACCUCAAUUCCCCAAGUAGCGGCGAGCGAAACGGGAAGAGCCAAAACCUUUUUAACUUUCGUGUGUUCGCACACGAAUAAGCUGGCAGGCGAAUGUUAACAAGGGGUUGUGAGAUAUAAACGACCAUAAAACAGUGCUGUCUGAUUUAUCAAAAAGCAUUGUUUUAUGCGACCAGCAACUGCCAAAAGUCUGGGUAAGGUAAGAAAACAUCGAAUUAGCGGAAUGGUCUGGAACGGCCAACCAUAGAGGGUGAUAGUCCCGUAGGUUAAAAUUCUUUGUCCUUAUGUUUAUAUUCUCGAGUAGGCCGGGACACGUGAAACCCUGGUUGAAUCUAGGAGGACCACCUCCUAAGGCUAAAUACUCUUUACGAUCGAUAGCGAACUAGUACCGUGAGGGAAAGGCGAAAAGAACCCCGGAAGGGGAGUGAAAUAGAACCUGAAAUCAUGUGCCUACAAGGAGUCGGAGCAGGCUUGUCCUGUGACGGCGUGCUUUUUGUAGAACGAUCCAGCGAGUUAAUUGGUAUAGCGUUAGGUUAAGUCAUCUGACGGAGCCGUAGUGAAAGCGAGGGUUAAUAGCCCGACAUAGUUAUGCCGAUUAGACCCGAAACCGGGUGACCUAACCAUGGGCAGGUUGAAGCGUGGGUAACACCACGUGGAGGACCGAACCACCGCAUGUUGCAAAAUGCUUGGAUGACCUGUGGUUAGCGGAGAAAUUCCAAUCGAACUCGGAGAUAGCUGGUUCUCCGCGAAAUAGCUUUAGGGCUAGCGUCACGAACUACCUUUCGGGGGUAGAGCUCUGAUUGGGUCUGGGGCCCUCACGGGUACCCACCCCUGUCAAACUGCGAAUACCGAAAGAGACUACCGUGGCAGUCAGUACAUCGGGGCUAAGCUCGAUGCACAAAAGGGAAACAGCCCAGACCAUCAUCUAAGGUCCCUAAAUCUACGCUCAGUGGGAAACGAUGUGGAGACGCAUAAACAACCAGGAUGUGGGCUUAGAAGCAGCCAUGCAUUUAAAGAGUGCGUAACAGCUCACUGGUCAAUGGUGACUCUGCGCGGAAAAUGUAACGGGGCUAAGCGUAGUACCGAAGAUAUGGAUAUGGCACUUUAGUGUCGUGUGGUAGCGGAGCGUUCCUUGGGCGUUGAAGCCGAGCCGGAAGGCCAGGUGGAGCGCAGGGAAGUGAGAAUGCUGGAAUGAGUAACCAUAAGGCAGGUGAGAAUCCUGCCCACCGUAAGAACAAGGUUUCCUAGGCAACGGUUAUCGUCCUAGGGUUAGUCGGGCCUAAGCCGAGGCGAGUAGCGUAGGCGAUGGACAACGGGUUAAUAUUCCCGUACCGGCGAUGGUGUUGCGUAUAGGUGCGCGGCAUGGUAGUUCGAGCAGACUUUGGAUAUGUCUGUCUAAGUGCGUAGUCUUCGGAUGAAACACGAAUGAAAGGCGGGUAAAACCGCUGAUUCGAGUGAGCCAAGCCGACCAGAAAAGCCUGUACGUGCCAAGCCAUAGCCGCCCGUACCGCAAACCGACUCAGGUGUUCGGGUCGAGUAGACCAAGGUGUACGAGAGAACCCUCCUUAAGGAACUCGGCAAUACAGCGACCGUAACUUCGGGAUAAGGUCUGCCUAGCUUGUCUAGGCCGCAGCAAAAGAGCCCAAGCGACUGUUUAUCAAAAACACAGGUCUGUGCUAACACGAAAGUGGAUGUAUACGGACUGACGCCUGCCCGGUGCCGGAAGGUUAAGGGGAUGAGUGCAAGCUCUGAACUGAAGCCCCGGUAAACGGCGGCAGUAACUAUAACUGUCCUAAGGUAGCGAAAUUCCUUGUCGGGUAAGUUCCGACCCGCACGAAUGGCGUAACGAUUUGGGCACUGUCUCAAGGAGGGACUCGGUGAAAUUGCAAUGCCGGUAAAGAUGCCGGCUACCCGCACCAAGACGGAAAGACCCCGUGGAGCUUUACUACAACUUGGCAUUGGGCCGGGUUGCAGCAUGUGUAGUAUAGGUGGGAGACUUUGAAGUCAGGGCGCUAGCCCUGAUGGAGUCAUCAGUGAAAUACCACCCUUGCUGUAAUCUUGUCCUAACCUGGACCGCAACAAGCGGAUAAUAGGUUAUCAGAUGCUGAUUACAGAGUAGAGCAACACCGUGUCUAUAAAUACAUUUAUGUAGAUAUAGACUAGAAAAGCUUUUUCUCUGUUUUCAAUGCGCGCAUCUGUUAAACACUUAUUGUCAGUUUGUUCCGGUUCAGGAACAGUGUCUGGUGGGUAGUUUAACUGGGGCGGUUGCCUCCUAAAGAGUAACGGAGGCGUUCAAAGGUUGGCUAGAUACGGAUGGAAAUCGUAUCGAUAGUGCAAGCGCAUAAGCCAGCUUGACUGCAAGGCCUACAAGCCGAGCAGGUGCGAAAGCAGGAGCUAGUGAUCCGCUGUCACACUGCGAAUUUAUUCGCAAGAAAGUGGAAUCGGCAGCGCUCAACGGACAAAAGCUACCCCGGGGAUAACAGGCUUAUAGCGCCCAAGCGUCCACAGCGACGGCGCUGUUUGGCACCUCGAUGUCGGCUCGUCUCAUCCUGGGGGUGAAGCAGCUCCCAAGGGUAUGGCUGUUCGCCAUUUAAAGAGGUACGCGAGCUGGGUUCAGAACGUCGUGAGACAGUUCGGUCUCUAUCUGGUGUGGGCGUAGGAAACUUGCGGAGGUUUGUCCCUAGUACGAGAGGACCGGGAUGAACGAACCUCUGGUGUACCGAUUGUCGUACCAACGGCAUUGUCGGGUAGCUAAGUUCGGUUGCGAUAAGUGCUGAAUGCAUAUAAGCACGAAGCCAUCUCCAAGAUUAGGUUUCCCCAUGAGACCCCAGAAAGACUAUCUGGUUGAUAGGCACCAAGUGUAAGCGUGGUAACACGUUCAGCUGAGGUGUACUAAUCGGUCCAUCGACUUUUUU